AGUAAACGGCGGCCGUAACAAUAACGGUCCUAAGGUAGCGAAAUUCCUUGUCGGGUAAGUUCCGACCCGCACGAAAGGCGUAAUGAUUUGGGCACUGUCUCAACGAGAGACUCGGUGAAAUUUUAGUACCUGUGAAGAUGCAGGUUACCCGCGACAGGACGGAAAGACCCCAUGGAGCUUUACUGUAGUUUGAUAUUGAGUACCUGUAAGUCAUGUACAGGAUAGGUAGGAGCCAUUGAAAUAGGGACGCUAGUUUCUAUUGAGGCGUUGUUGGGAUACUACCCUUGACUUAUGGUUACUCUAACCCGCUGGCAUAAUCGGCCAGGGAGACAGUGUCUGACGGACAGUUUGACUGGG
This 357-nucleotide ribosomal RNA is filed under the name Anophryoides haemophila. RNAcentral's name for it is "partial Bacterial large subunit ribosomal RNA". It matches the Rfam family "Bacterial large subunit ribosomal RNA", at positions 1922 to 2278 of the family's 2925-position model. The record is from RNAcentral. Lineage: Eukaryota; Ciliophora; Oligohymenophorea; Philasterida; Glauconematidae.